CGUGUAGGCGGUCAGGUAAGUGGGGUGUGAAAGCCCCGGCUCACCCGGGGAUCUGCAUUCCAAACUGCCUGGCUUGAGUACGGGAGAGGAUAAGGGAAUUCCUGGUGUAGCGGUGAAAUGCGUAGAUAUCAGGAAGAACACCCGUGGCGAAGGCGGCUCUCUGGAACGCAACUGACGCUGAGACGCGAAAGCGUGGGGAGCAAACA
This 206-nucleotide ribosomal RNA is filed under the name uncultured bacterium. RNAcentral describes it as "partial 16S ribosomal RNA". It matches the Rfam family "Bacterial small subunit ribosomal RNA", at positions 568 to 774 of the family's 1533-position model. The record is from RNAcentral.